AGCAGCAGUAGGGAUCUUCCACAAUGGACGAAAGUCUGAUGGAGCAACGCCGCGUGAGUGAAGAAGGGUUUCGGCUCGUAAAACUCUGUUGUUAAAGAAGAACAUAUCUGAGAGUAACUGUUCAGGUAUUGACGGUAUUUAACCAGAAAGCCACGGCUAACUACGUGCCAGCAGCCGCGGUAAUACGUAGGUGGCAAGCGUUGUCCGGAUUUAUUGGGCGUAAAGCGAGCGCAGGCGGUUUUUUAAGUCUGAUGUGAAAGCCUUCGGCUCAACCGAAGAAGUGCAUCGGAAACUGGGAAACUUGAGUGCAGAAGAGGACAGUGGAACUCCAUGUGUAGCGGUGAAAUGCGUAGAUAUAUGGAAGAACACCAGUGGCGAAGGCGGCUGUCUGGUCUGUAACUGACGCUGAGGCUCGAAAGUAUGGGUAGCAAACAGGAUUAGAUACCCUGGUAGUCCAUACCGUAAACGAUGAAUGCUAAGUGUUGGAGGGUUUCCGCCCUUCAGUGCUGCAGCUAACGCAUUAAGCAUUCCGCCUGGGGAGUACGGCCGCAAGGCUGAAACUCAAAGGAAUUGACGGGGGCCCGCACAAGCGGUGGAGCAUGUGGUUUAAUUCGAAGCUACGCGAAGAACCUUACCAGGUCUUGACAUACUAUGCAAAUCUAAGAGAUUAGACGUUCCCUUCGGGGACAUGGAUACAGGUGGUGCAUGGUUGUCGUCAGCUCGUGUCGUGAGAUGUUGGGUUAAGUCCCGCAACGAGCGCAACCCUUAUUAUCAGUUGCCAGCAUUAAGUUGGGCACUCUGGUGAGACUGCCG
Molecule: ribosomal RNA, 813 nt
Filed under: Pediococcus pentosaceus
Lineage: Bacteria; Bacillati; Bacillota; Bacilli; Lactobacillales; Lactobacillaceae
Description: bacterial SSU rRNA
Rfam family: Bacterial small subunit ribosomal RNA
Source: RNAcentral